GAGUGGGUCAGACGGCCGCGUAUGCUUCGGCAUGCGAGGAAAGUCCGGGCUCCAAAGGGCAAGAUGCCAGCUAACGGCUGGGCGGGGUAACCCGACGGAUAGUGCCACAGAAAAGGAAACUCCCCCGCUUUGCGGGAGAAAAGCUGAAAAGGUGCGGUAAGAGCGCACCAGCGCGUCGGCAACGGCGCGGCUUGGUAAACCCCAUCUGGAGCAAACGCAAAUAGGGAUGCGAUACGGCCGCCCUUCCGUGCAUCCGGGUUGCGCGCUAGAGACGCACGGCGACGUGCGUUCGAGAUAAAUGGUCGUCCUAAUGACAGAACCCGGCUUAUCGACCCACUCGC
RNAcentral lists this RNase P RNA (341 nucleotides) under human gut metagenome. RNAcentral's name for it is "Bacterial RNase P class A". It matches the Rfam family "Bacterial RNase P class A". From Rfam's summary of the family: Ribonuclease P (RNase P) is a ubiquitous endoribonuclease, found in archaea, bacteria and eukarya as well as chloroplasts and mitochondria. Its best characterised activity is the generation of mature 5'-ends of tRNAs by cleaving the 5'-leader elements of precursor-tRNAs. The record is from RNAcentral.